UACAGAGGGGGCAAGCGUUGUCCGGAUUUACUGGGCGUAAAGAGCGCGCAGGCGGUCGAAUAAGUCGAAUGUGAAAGCCCCCGGCUUAACUGGGGAGGGUCAUUCGAUACUGCUCGACUUGAAGGCAGGAGAGGGAAGUGGAAUUCCCGGUGUAGUGGUGAAAUUCGUAGAUAUCCGCAAGAACACCAGUGGCGAAGGCGGCUCACUGGCCCGGUACUGACGCUGAGGUGCGAAAGCGUGGGGAGCAAACAGG
RNAcentral lists this ribosomal RNA (253 nucleotides) under uncultured bacterium. RNAcentral describes it as "partial 16S ribosomal RNA". It matches the Rfam family "Bacterial small subunit ribosomal RNA", at positions 524 to 776 of the family's 1533-position model. The record is from RNAcentral.